RNAcentral lists this long non-coding RNA (322 nucleotides) under Setaria viridis. RNAcentral's name for it is "long non-coding RNA (SVIR_LNC007216)". The record is from RNAcentral. Lineage: Eukaryota; Viridiplantae; Streptophyta; Magnoliopsida; Poales; Poaceae.
CCAGCUUUAAACCGGGACAAAAGGGGGCGCAUCCAAAGCCAAUUCCCAGCUAGUGUUAAGAUGCACUUCCUAUAGUUCAACUUAAUCGAUUCAAUUUGCAUGGACUGCCAACACAUGCAUGCAAGCCUAAUCCCUUAGUUUCUUCACUCGGUAAGCAUCUUGCUCUAUGUAUACCAGACAGAAUAGCUCCGUGAAGGGUUCCGCCAUUUCGUUACCUGCAUCCACAUGAUGUUCCUCUGUACUAUUGUUGGAUCAAUAAUUCAAUCCUGUGAUUAUCAUUUGGAAUGCCACCACAUUAUCCGCUUGCGAUCAAUAACCCCAC